The sequence is a non-coding RNA, 266 nucleotides long. It matches the Rfam family "Bacterial large signal recognition particle RNA". From Rfam's summary of the family: The signal recognition particle (SRP) is a universally conserved ribonucleoprotein involved in the co-translational targeting of proteins to membranes. Archaeal SRP consists of a 7S RNA and homologues of the eukaryotic SRP19 and SRP54 proteins. The record is from Rfam.
UCGUGCUAGACGGGGAGGUAGCGGUGCCCUGUACCUGCAACCCGCUAUAGCAGGGUCGAAUUCCUGCCCGAGGCAUAUAGCUGUGAAGACAGGGCCAUGAUUAAAGAGCAAUGAAGAUUGGGUCUUGCGCAAUUCAGGGCUGUGAACCCCGUCAGGUCCGGAAGGAAGCAGCGGUAAGCAGUUUACUGGAUGUGCCGCAAGGGUGCCUGAUCCGAGCUUUUUAUCGUGGUGCCGUUUGUAGUUGUAUGUCGACGGCAGGUGCACGA